This 546-nucleotide long non-coding RNA is filed under the name Elaeis guineensis (African oil palm). Its description in RNAcentral is "long non-coding RNA (EGUI_LNC009139)". The record is from RNAcentral. Lineage: Eukaryota; Viridiplantae; Streptophyta; Magnoliopsida; Arecales; Arecaceae.
GGCAUUCUUGCACGGCGAAGGCCUUCUUCAUUUUCAUAAUCCAGUUAUCUGCUUCUUGUGGCUCGAUGGUCCCUUUGAAGGCUGGAGGAGCUAGCUUCUUAAAUUCGACGAUAUUGUUUCUCUGCAUCGGAUGUUCUCCAUGUCUAGGUAUUGGUGGAAAUUGCUGACGUGGCUGUGCAUGUUGUUGUUGAAGUAACUGUUGCAGUGUUUGAACUACUCCGAUCAGAGUUUGCAUUAGUUGAGUCAUGUUCGGCUCCUGUGCUGUCGCAGUAUUUUUGGUAGGAUCAUGGAUUCCCUCCUGCUGAGUUGUACCGCUGUUUAAUUGGGGAGUAUUAUCGCCAAGUGGAUUUGAUGUCCCUCCUACCGUUCCUUGAGUAUUCCUCGCUCGUCAUGGAGGCAUAUUGACCUAUGUUAGAUUUGAGAUAAUAACUUAUCCUUAAUAAGGUUAUAACUUGUGACAAGUCAAAUCAUAAUCAUCAUGACUAACCUUUCAAUUUCCUAAUGUCUACCCGUCACUCGCUCACUUAAUUCUACAUGUCUCUAUCU